CACGCUAUUAGUCAGUGGGUGCUGCAGCCAGCCUCAUGCCCCACACGUCCCGUGGCUCAAAGACCAGGGCACUUUCCACUGCUCUCAACUGUCUCCUGCCUAGGAAAAUGCUUUUCUGGACAGAGGGAGUCACAGACAGAUGUGCUGUUGGCAUCGACUUCCUGUCAUUGGGCAACAGCUUCCGCCAUCUGGCCCAGGUUGACGUCAGCUCUCUGGGUUUCUGCCAGGGUUCUCUGGCCCAGGAAGCAGACUUCCGGCCGGCCAGGCUCUGAGCCGUCCCCGGCCUCCUGGAGGAGUGGGUCUCUCAACUGGCCAAGAGAAGAACUGAGAAAUCAGAUCUCAAGGAAGAUUGCUCUCUAGGAAAUCAGUAAACGUGGAGGCGUGGAGAUCGGGGACCCUGGGUAGGGGGAGCUCAGAAUCUUUGAGAGCCCCACAUCCGUCUGUAUCAAGCUGGAGGAGACGUACUUAGUGCUGGGGCAGCUGUUGUGUGCUCACUAGGAGGCCAUGCUCCAGGGGAGGAGAGACCCCUGUCUGACCUGUAACAAAAAGCACCAGAGGUCUUGGUUCCUGCCCACGCGACCACCUGCUGAGAAACACAGGCAGUUUGGGGAAACUGGGUGGUCUCCUCCCAACAACCACAACCCGCAGACGCCUGGUCUACCAUGGAUCACGCCUGCGGCUCAGGACAAAGGGGCGUUCUCACCAGGCAGGAGUCUUCACGGCCAAGCGAGGCGAGUGGAAGUGUCAGAUCUGCAGGUGCCACGCGCACUGUCCUCAAUACCCCUCCAGCAAGGAGACACAGCCACAGUAGUACAGCCACGACCCUGCUGUUCCUCCAUGGAGGUGAUUCUACAUAGGACUGGGGGCUGCUACAGAGUUAAGUCUCAUUGUUAAUUUUAUGGUUUUAGGGUGUGUGUAUGCGUUCGUGCUCUUGCACCUUGGUCAAGUCGAUGCACACAACUCACGCACGGGCUUCCGGAUAGGAGCAGCAGCUGGUUGGACACAGCUGCAGGAAGGCUUGUGCCGCUUAUUACCGCACAGAAUGGUAGAAGACACAAUGAUCCAUACCUUUUUUUUUUUUUUUUAAAGAUUUUAUUUAUUUAUUUGAAACUCAGAGAGAGAUCUUCCAUCUGCUGAUUCACUCCCCAAAUGGCUGCAACGGCCAGGGUUGGGCCAGGCUGAAGCCAGGAGCCUGGAGCUUCACCUGAGUCUCCCACGUGGGUGGCAGGGUGAGGCCAUAUUCAGCCGCCUUCUCAGACCAUUAGCAGGAGCUGGGUGGGAAACGGAGCAGCCGGACAUGAAUGAGCCGGGAUGCGGCACUGCAGGUGAAGCUAUACUUUACUAGUGAUAAGGGAGCUGGGGUGGAACUGGUGCUGUACCAUUCCUUUGCUGUCACUGAGGAAUAGCCCCCACCCCCACCUCCCACCACCCCACCCACGGCAUCUUGUUGUUCUUAUCAUAAGGGUUUGUGACAGCCCUUAGACUUUAUCUGCAGAGUGGCCUCUUGGGCGCACAGAUGGCAGCUUCCUUCCGAGACACCAGGAGACUCAAGAUGGCACCACUGUGGCUUGCUGUGGCACAGAUGAAAGAACCUCUGUUCAUUGUGUUCUGAGGUCUUUGGCCCUCUGGUGACCUCUGACCUCUGACCUUGGCACCUUUGCUAGGCUUGUAUGACCUUUCAGUUGUUGUGUAUGACUGUCAGUGUGUGAAAUAGGAAACAGCUAAGAGACGUGCUCCUGAGACGUGUCGGCGAGACUGUCCUUGAGAGACGGAAGCGAGCAGCCAGUACCUAGUAGGCCUUUGAGGGUAUCAUUUUUUUUUAAAAGAUUCAUUUAUUUUACUUGAAAGUCAUAGUUACACAGAGAGAGAAGAAGGGGCAGAGAGAGAGAGAGAGAGGUCUUCCAUCCACUGGUUCACUCCCCAAUUGGCUGCAAUGGCCGCAGCUGCACCAAUCCGAAGCCAGGAGCCAGGAGCUUCUUUCAGGUCUCCCAUGUGGGUGCAGGGGCCCAAGGACUUGGACCAUCUUCUACUGCUUUCCCAGGCCACAGCAGAGAGCUGGAUCGGAAGUGGAGCAGCCAGGAUAUGCCCAUAUGGGGAUGCCGGUACCUCAGGCGGUGGCUUUACCCGCUACAUCACAGCGGCGGCCUCUUUGAGGGUAUCAUUUUUAGGAUAAUUAUUUUUGAAUUUUUGAAGUCCACAUACAGUUUUUGUCAUAAUACACAAUUUCGUAUUGUAUUAUUAAACUUUUACUUGAAAGAGAGACAGAUAUUUCAUCCACUAGUUCAUAUCCCAAAUGUUUGUAACAGCCAGGGCUGGGCCAGGCGGAAGCCAGGAGCCAGGACCUCCGUCUCAUGUGGGUGGCAGAGACCCAAGUGCUUGCCCCAUCAUCUGCUGCCUCCCAUGAUGGAUAGACUCAAAUCCAUACACUCUUGGGAUCGGCACUGUGUGUGGUAUAUCGGAUAAAGCAGCUGCUUGCAGUGCCAGCAUCCCAUAUGGGCGCCGGUUUGAGUCCUGGCUGUUCCACUUCCGAUCCAGCUCUCUGCUGUGGUCUGGGAAAGCAGUGGAAGAUGGCCCAAGUCCUUGGGCCCCUGCACUCGCACGGGAGACCUGGAAGAAGCUCCUGGCUCCUGGCUUUGGAUCGGCACAGCUCAGACCAUUGUGGCCAAUUGGGGAGUGAACCAGUGGAUGGAGGACCUCUCUCUCUUUCUCUGCCUCUCCUUCUCUCUCUGUGUAACUAUGACUUUCAAAUAAGUAAAUAAGAUCUUAAAAAAAAAAUCCAUGCACUCUGAUGCAGGAUGUGAGCCUGCAAGGCAGUGGCUUAACCCCC
This is a long non-coding RNA of Oryctolagus cuniculus (rabbit), 2827 nucleotides long. RefSeq lists it as uncharacterized. The record is from RefSeq and is a predicted model, not a curated record. NCBI's taxonomy places the organism in Eukaryota, Metazoa, Chordata, Mammalia, Lagomorpha, Leporidae.